UGCUUGUGAUUUAUUUGUGUUGUGAAUGUUAAUUUCAGAACCAACUGAAUUCAGAAUUGUAUAGUUGUAAUUGGUAAUUUGGAUGGGAUUCAGUAUUGAUAUGUAUUUUAAAAUGGAUUAUUGAUAUGCAUAUGAGCAAAGAGUCGAGACUUGGUUCUCAUUCGACGUUGGUUCUCACGAGAACACAACAAGAUAUACGUUCACACACAAGCACACAGACGCAAAAAGUAAACUAUCUAACGGACCCGGAAAUAUUGGUCUUCCCAUUUGAGGGGGGAGUAGUUGAUAUAAAUUUGUGUUCAUAUCUGCCUUAGUUUCGAGUGGUUUUCACUCACAAGCUUACAUGUGAGCUAUUGCUAUGUGGUAGUACUU
RNAcentral lists this long non-coding RNA (372 nucleotides) under Daucus carota (carrot). RNAcentral's name for it is "long non-coding RNA (DCAR_LNC005401)". Lineage: Eukaryota; Viridiplantae; Streptophyta; Magnoliopsida; Apiales; Apiaceae. The record is from RNAcentral.